CAUUUUAUGGACCGAGUAUUCUGGACGAAACUAUAAGCUGUUCACAGACGAACAGAAAAAAAAUGCGUUUGUAGUAAAACCGAUACAUUCUUCGGAUUCCGGUGUGACACUAAAAAAAAAGGCGAAAUUACACGGAGAGACCGAGAGAGACGGAUGUGUACACGUGUCGUCGUACCUUAUAUUAUUAUGGAAGCUAUAGGUCGUACGGAAAAUUCGAUUUCCACAGUAAAUCGGUCAUACGUGUUCAAUGUUCGACGAUAACAAGGUACACGCGUCUGCAGUAUUACCGAAAAUUGUUUCUCGUUUGGUAAUACCCCGUGGUGUAUUGUCAGGAAAUUGCUUCGGCAUAUGCAAAUACACGAGUGCGCCAUAAAAACGGUAUACGUUUACAAUAAUAAUUGUAUACGCGCAACAGGGGCGGCUCGAAACUCUUAAAUGAACACAAAGCUCUCAAAA
Cinara cedri is the source of this 456-nucleotide non-coding RNA. The record is from the annotation of a GenBank genome assembly. Lineage: Eukaryota; Metazoa; Arthropoda; Insecta; Hemiptera; Aphididae.